This 399-nucleotide ribosomal RNA is filed under the name uncultured bacterium. RNAcentral describes it as "bacterial SSU rRNA". It matches the Rfam family "Bacterial small subunit ribosomal RNA", at positions 29 to 444 of the family's 1533-position model. The record is from RNAcentral.
AACGAACGCUGGCGGCAUGCCUAACACAUGCAAGUCGAACGGGAUCCGAGCUUCGGUUCGGUGAGAGUGGCGGACGGGUGAGUAACGCGUGGGAACCUGCCCAGUGGUGGGGGAUAACUGCGGGAAACUGCAGCUAAUACCGCAUGAGCCCGAGAGGGGAAAGAUUUAUCGCCAUUGGAGGGGCCCGCGUUCGAUUAGGUAGUUGGUGAGGUAACGGCUCACCAAGCCUUCGAUCGAUAGCUGGUCUGAGAGGAUGAUCAGCCACACUGGGACUGAGAUACGGCCCAGACUCCUACGGGAGGCAGCAGUGGGGGAAUAUUGGACAAUGGGGGCGAACCCUCGAUCCAGCAAUGCCGCGUGAGUGAUGAAGGGCCUCGUCGGUAAGUACCGUACGUCGUC